RNAcentral lists this ribosomal RNA (876 nucleotides) under uncultured crenarchaeote. RNAcentral describes it as "bacterial SSU rRNA". It matches the Rfam family "Archaeal small subunit ribosomal RNA", at positions 21 to 903 of the family's 1478-position model. The record is from RNAcentral. Lineage: Archaea; Thermoproteati; Thermoproteota.
ACCUGACUGCUAUCGGAUUGAUACUAAGCCAUGCGAGUCAUUGUAGCAAUACAAGGCAUACGGCUCAGUAACGCGUAGUCAACCUAACCUAUGGACGGGAAUAACCUCGGGAAACUGAGAAUAAUGCCCGAUAGAACAUUAUGCCUGGAAUGGUUUAUGUUCCAAAUGAUUUAUCGCCUUAGGAUGGGACUGCGGCCUAUCAGUUUGUUGGUGAGGUAAUGGCCCACCAAGACUAUUACAGGUACGGGCUCUGAGAGGAGUAGCCCGGAGAUGGGUACUGAGACACGGACCCAGGCCCUAUGGGGCGCAGCAGGCGAGAAAACUUUGCAAUGUGCGAAAGCACGACAAGGUUAAUCCGAGUGAUUUCUGCUAAAGAGAUCUUUUGUUAGUCCUAGAAACACUAACGAAUAAGGGGUGGGCAAGUUCUGGUGUCAGCCGCCGCGGUAAAACCAGCACCUCAAGUGGUCAGGAUGAUUAUUGGGCCUAAAGCAUCCGUAGCCGGCUCUGUAAGUUUUCGGUUAAAUCUGUACGCUCAACGUACAGGCUGCCGGGAAUACUGCAGAACUAGGGAGUGGGAGAGGUAGACGGUACUCGGUAGGAAGUGGUAAAAUGCUUUGAUCUAUCGAUGACCACCUGUGGCGAAGGCGGUCUACCAGAACACGUCCGACGGUGAGGGAUGAAAGCUGGGGGAGCAAACCGGAUUAGAUACCCGGGUAGUCCCAGCUGUAAACUAUGCAAACUCAGUGAUGCAUUGGCUUGUGGCCAAUGCAGUGCUGCAGGGAAGCCGUUAAGUUUGCCGCCUGGGAAGUACGUACGCAAGUAUGAAACUUAAAGGAAUUGGCGGGGGAGCACCACAAGGGGUGAAGCCUGCGGUUC